Molecule: ribosomal RNA, 673 nt
Filed under: Pseudomonas sp. MNW-2
Lineage: Bacteria; Pseudomonadati; Pseudomonadota; Gammaproteobacteria; Pseudomonadales; Pseudomonadaceae
Description: bacterial SSU rRNA
Rfam family: Bacterial small subunit ribosomal RNA
Source: RNAcentral
GAGAGCUUGCUCUCUGAUUCAGCGGCGGACGGGUGAGUAAUGCCUAGGAAUCUGCCUGGUAGUGGGGGACAACGUCUCGAAAGGGACGCUAAUACCGCAUACGUCCUACGGGAGAAAGCAGGGGACCUUCGGGCCUUGCGCUAUCAGAUGAGCCUAGGUCGGAUUAGCUAGUUGGUGAGGUAAUGGCUCACCAAGGCGACGAUCCGUAACUGGUCUGAGAGGAUGAUCAGUCACACUGGAACUGAGACACGGUCCAGACUCCUACGGGAGGCAGCAGUGGGGAAUAUUGGACAAUGGGCGAAAGCCUGAUCCAGCCAUGCCGCGUGUGUGAAGAAGGUCUUCGGAUUGUAAAGCACUUUAAGUUGGGAGGAAGGGCAGUAAAUUAAUACUUUGCUGUUUUGACGUUACCGACAGAAUAAGCACCGGCUAACUCUGUGCCAGCAGCCGCGGUAAUACAGAGGGUGCAAGCGUUAAUCGGAAUUACUGGGCGUAAAGCGCGCGUAGGUGGUUUGUUAAGUUGGAUGUGAAAUCCCCGGGCUCAACCUGGGAACUGCAUUCAAAACUGACAAGCUAGAGUAUGGUAGAGGGUGGUGGAAUUUCCUGUGUAGCGGUGAAAUGCGUAGAUAUAGGAAGGAACACCAGUGGCGAAGGCGACCACCUGGACUGAUACUGA